This 305-nucleotide ribosomal RNA is filed under the name uncultured bacterium. RNAcentral's name for it is "bacterial SSU rRNA". It matches the Rfam family "Bacterial small subunit ribosomal RNA", at positions 334 to 653 of the family's 1533-position model. The record is from RNAcentral.
CUUCCCUACGGGGCGCAGCAGUGGGGAAUAUUGGGCAAUGGGCGCAAGCCUGACCCAGCAACGCCGCGUGAAGGAAGAAGGCUUUCGGGUUGUAAACUUCUUUUCUUGGGGACGAAGAAAGUGACGGUACCCAAGGAAUAAGCCACGGCUAACUACGUGCCAGCAGCCGCGGUAAUACGUAGGUGGCAAGCGUUAUCCGGAUUUAUUGGGUGUAAAGGGCGUGUAGGCGGGAUUGCAAGUCAGAUGUGAAAACCACGGGCUCAACCUGUGGCCUGCAUUUGGAACUGUAGGUGUUGAGGGCUGGG